This 362-nucleotide ribosomal RNA is filed under the name Procambarus rogersi expletus. RNAcentral describes it as "partial small subunit ribosomal RNA". The record is from RNAcentral. Lineage: Eukaryota; Metazoa; Arthropoda; Malacostraca; Decapoda; Cambaridae.
UAGUACACUUAGAUUUAAUUUAUAAAUACUAGAAUAUUAGAAGUUAUGCUCUUUAAAUUUAAAAAAUUUGGCGGUAAUUUAGUCUAAUUAGAGGAACCUGUUUUAUAAACGACACAACACGAAUUAUUUUACUUAUUUUGGUAAACAGCUUGUAUACCGUCAUUAUAAGAUUAUUUAGGAGAGAAUAUUAUUGGAAUCAAUGUUAUUGAGUAUAUUAGAUCAAGGUGCAGCUUAUAGGUAAGUAAAUAUGGGUUACAAUAAAAUUUAUUUAAUACGAAUUAAAUAUUUAAAUAUAUUUAUGAAGGAGGAUUUAAUUGUAAAAGAGGGAGUAGUGAGAUUUUUUGGUAUAGGCUCUAAGUUAU